UACGUAGGUGGCAAGCGUUGUCCGGAUUUACUGGGUGUAAAGGGCGUGCAGCCGGAGAGACAAGUCAGAUGUGAAAUCCACAGGCUCAACCUGUGAACUGCAUUUGAAACUGUUUCCCUUGAGUAUCGGAGAGGUCAUCGGAAUUCCUAGUGUAGCGGUGAAAUGCGUAGAUAUCACGCAGAACUCCGAUUGCGAGGGCAGCAUACCGGCGCCCGACUGACGCUGAAGCACGAAAGCGUGGGUAUCGAACAGG
This 253-nucleotide ribosomal RNA is filed under the name uncultured Oscillospira sp. Its description in RNAcentral is "partial 16S ribosomal RNA". It matches the Rfam family "Bacterial small subunit ribosomal RNA", at positions 524 to 776 of the family's 1533-position model. The record is from RNAcentral. Lineage: Bacteria; Bacillati; Bacillota; Clostridia; Eubacteriales; Oscillospiraceae.